This 144-nucleotide small RNA is filed under the name Xenorhabdus mauleonii. The record is from RNAcentral. Lineage: Bacteria; Pseudomonadati; Pseudomonadota; Gammaproteobacteria; Enterobacterales; Morganellaceae.
AAACAAAAAGAGGCCGAGUUCAUUCCUCUACUCGGCCUAGGGAAAAUUGGCUCUGUUAAGAGAGCCUUGUGCUAAAAGUUUCCAUUGAGACGUAGGACAACUUACCACUUAAAGAGUAGUUGACCAGUCAUUAUUUACCAAAUU